This 874-nucleotide ribosomal RNA is filed under the name uncultured bacterium. Its description in RNAcentral is "bacterial SSU rRNA". It matches the Rfam family "Bacterial small subunit ribosomal RNA", at positions 1 to 860 of the family's 1533-position model. The record is from RNAcentral.
UUAGAGUUUGUUCCUGGCUCAGGACGAACGCUGGCGGCAUGCCUAAUACAUGCAAGUCGAACGCUGAAGCACUCUGCUUGCAGAGUGCGGAUGAGUGGCGAACGGGUGAGUAACACGUGGGAAAUCUGCCUAGGAGUGGGGGAUAACAUUCGGAAACGGAUGCUAAUACCGCAUAUCUUUUUGACCNGCAUGGUUCUUAAACGAAAGACGGCUUCGGCUGUCGCUCUUAGAUGAUCCCGCGGCGUAUUAGUUAGUUGGUGGGGUAAAGGCCUACCAAGACCAUGAUACGUAGCCGACCUGAGAGGGUGAUCGGCCACACUGGGACUGAGACACGGCCCAGACUCCUACGGGAGGCAGCAGUAGGGAAUCUUCCACAAUGGGUGAAAACCUGAUGGAGCAAUGCCGCGUGAAUGAAGAAGGUCUUCGGAUCGUAAAGUUCUGUUAUUAGAGAAGAACAAGUCAAGGAGUAACUGUCUUGACUUUGACGGUACCUAACCAGAAAGUCACGGCUAACUACGUGCCAGCAGCCGCGGUAAUACGUAGGUGACAAGCGUUGUCCGGAAUUAUUGGGCGUAAAGGGAGCGCAGGCGGUUGGAAUAGUCUGAUGUGAAAGGCAGGGGCUCAACCCCUGGACUGCAUUGGAAACUGGCAGGCUUGAGUGCCGGAGGGGUAAGCGGAAUUCCUAGUGUAGCGGUGAAAUGCGUAGAUAUUUGGAGGAACACCAGUGGCGAAGGCGACUUACUGGUCUGUAAUUGACGCUGAGGCUCGAAAGCGUGGGUAGCAAACAGGAUUAGAUACCCUGGUAGUCCACGCCGUAAACGAUGAGUGCUAAGUGUUAGGGGGUUUCCGCCCCUUAGUGCUGGAGUUAACGCAU